CCUACGGGUGGCAGCAGUGGGGAAUAUUGGACAAUGGGGGAAACCCUGAUCCAGCGACGCCGCGUGAGUGAAGAAGUAUUUCGGUAUGUAAAGCUCUAUCAGCAGGGAAGAAAAUGACGGUACCUGACUAAGAAGCCCCGGCUAACUACGUGCCAGCAGCCGCGGUAAUACGUAGGGGGCAAGCGUUAUCCGGAUUUACUGGGUGUAAAGGGAGCGUAGACGGCAGAGCAAGUCUGGAGUGAAAUGCCGGGGCCCAACCCCGGAACUGCUCUGGAAACUGAGUAGCUGGAGUGCAGGAGAGGUAAGCGGAAUUCCUAGUGUAGCGGUGAAAUGCGUAGAUAUCAGGAGGAACACCAGCGGCGAAGGCGGCUUACUGGACUGUAACUGACGUUGAGGCUCGAAGGCGUGGGGAGCAAACAGGAUUAGAUACCCGUGUAGUC
Molecule: ribosomal RNA, 440 nt
Filed under: uncultured bacterium
Lineage: Bacteria
Description: partial 16S ribosomal RNA
Rfam family: Bacterial small subunit ribosomal RNA
Source: RNAcentral